Molecule: ribosomal RNA, 444 nt
Filed under: uncultured bacterium
Lineage: Bacteria
Description: bacterial SSU rRNA
Rfam family: Bacterial small subunit ribosomal RNA
Source: RNAcentral
GAUGAACGCUGGCGGUGUGCCUAAGGCAUGCAAGUCGAACGAAAUCCUUACUUCGGUAAGGUGAAAGUGGCAAACGGGUGAGUAACGCGUAGGAAUCUACCCAAAAGUGGGGAAUAGCCCUCCGAAAGGAGGUGUAAUACCGCAUAAUAUCGCAAGAUCAAAGCUUUAUGCGCUUUUGGAGGAGCCUGCGUCCUAUCAGGUAGUUGGUGGGGUAAUAGCCUACCAAGCCAAUGACGGGUAGCCGAUGUGAGAGCAUGAUCGGCCACAAGGUUACUGAGACACGGAGCCUACACCUACGGGUGGCAGCAACUAGGAAUAUUGCGCAAUGGACGAAAGUCUGACGCAGCGACACCGCGUGUGGGAAGACGCUUUUCGGAGUGUAAACCACUGUGGCAGGGGAACAAUUUUUGAGGGUACCCUGCUAGAAAGCACCUGCUAACUACG